RNAcentral lists this long non-coding RNA (243 nucleotides) under Prunus persica (peach). Its description in RNAcentral is "long non-coding RNA (PPER_LNC005059)". Lineage: Eukaryota; Viridiplantae; Streptophyta; Magnoliopsida; Rosales; Rosaceae. The record is from RNAcentral.
CAGGACUCAAGUUAGCCUGAUCCGCCCUCCUCACAAGACUCAAGGGACACUAAGCCCACCCGAGCUGCAUCUUCGCUCCCACAGUUCAAAUAUCCCUAAGCCUCGUGAGGCAAAAGUCAAGCAUGCUGACUUAACCGAAAGCGCUAUUUACUAUACUUGGGUACCUAGGGUGGUUUUAAGAAAAUAAGAAUUCCUAAAAAGAUAAUGACGAAUAAAACAAAUUCCUAUUAUCUGUAAAUCCUG